RNAcentral lists this ribosomal RNA (355 nucleotides) under uncultured Anoxybacillus sp. Its description in RNAcentral is "bacterial SSU rRNA". It matches the Rfam family "Bacterial small subunit ribosomal RNA", at positions 1026 to 1382 of the family's 1533-position model. Lineage: Bacteria; Bacillati; Bacillota; Bacilli; Caryophanales; Anoxybacillaceae. The record is from RNAcentral.
ACAGGGUGACAGGUGGUGCAUGGUUGUCGUCAGCUCGUGUCGUGAGAUGUUGGGUUAAGUCCCGCAACGAGCGCAACCCUCGACCUUAGUUGCCAGCAUUCAGUUGGGCACUCUAAGGUGACUGCCGGCUAAAAGUCGGAGGAAGGUGGGAAUGACGUCAAAUCAUCAUGCCCCUUAUGACCUGGGCUACACACGUGCUACAAUGGGCGGUACAAAGGGUCGCGAACCCGCGAGGGGGAGCCAAUCCCAAAAAGCCGCUCUCAGUUCGGAUUGCAGGCUGCAACUCGCCUGCAUGAAGCCGGAAUCGCUAGUAAUCGCGGAUCAGCAUGCCGCGGUGAAUACGUUCCCGGGCCUU